GCUGGGCGUGGUGGUGUGCGCCUGUAAUCCCAGCUACUUGGGAGGCUGAGGCAGGAGAAUCGCUUGAACCCAGGAGGCGGAGGUUGCAGUGAGCCAAGAUCGUGCCAUUACACUCCAGCCUGGGUGACAGAGCAAGACUCUGUCUCAA
Molecule: non-coding RNA, 148 nt
Organism: Pan troglodytes (chimpanzee)
Lineage: Eukaryota; Metazoa; Chordata; Mammalia; Primates; Hominidae
Rfam family: Metazoan signal recognition particle RNA
About the family: The signal recognition particle (SRP) is a universally conserved ribonucleoprotein. It is involved in the co-translational targeting of proteins to membranes.
Source: Rfam